UUUUCCCCAUUAGACAAUGGCAGGACCCAGAGCACAGAGCAUCGUUCCCAGGCCAGGCCCCAGCCACUGUCUCUUUAACCUUGAAGGCAUUUUUGGGUCUCACGUGUCCACCCAGGCGGGUGUCGGACUUUGAACGGCUCUUACUUCAGAAGAACGGCAUGGGGUGGGGGGGCUUAGGUGGCCUCUGCCUCACCUACAACUGCCAAAAGUGGUCAUGGGGUUAUUUUUAACCCCAGGGAAGAGGUAUUUAUUGUUCCACAGCAGGGGCCGGCCAGCAGGCUCCUUGAAUUCUUCAGAGGCAGCAGCCAGCCUCAGACACCAUGGUGAGUGGUCAGUGGACCCUUGAGGAAAGAUGUAGGGUGGGUAGCAAAGAGACCCCCUCAAGUCAAGGACCCCAUGGAGGAGGAGGGAAGCCCUCUUAAGAGACCCUAGCCCUGGAUGGACAAGGACCUCGCACCCUCAGAGGGACCCCAAUCCGCUUCCCUAAGGAGCCUCAAACGUAGCUCCCCAGGAAACUUGCAAAAA
This 525-nucleotide long non-coding RNA is filed under the name Rattus norvegicus (Norway rat). Its description in RNAcentral is "long non-coding RNA NONRATT007997". Lineage: Eukaryota; Metazoa; Chordata; Mammalia; Rodentia; Muridae. The record is from RNAcentral.